GUGAGAAGAUUGGCCAGAGCUGCUUGAGAACCGCAGAUGGAAGGGGCUCCAGUGCGGAGGGAACUCUCUCAGCAUAUGUUGGAGCGCAAAGGGAAUUGAUGGACUGGCUCAGGCAUCAUUUGCAUUUUAGGGUUUCUCAUUUUCAAGACACUGAUGAUGAUAAUCCUGAGGCUUGUAGCCCACAGGAGAUUGAACCUUUGUUGACCACUGCAGUCUAAAAGAUUAUCAAGAAUCAAUACACCAGUUCAUCAGUAAGACUACAGACUGGCAAUGUUUUCUUGCCUGAACUUUGCUAAAGGUAAAUUGAUCAAAUGACGGAAGUAUUCAUCCUGGAGACGACAUGGUGAUCUGAAAGAUUGCUGCAAUUCGGGUGAUCCAUGAGAGAUUGCAGUGUUGUGGCCAAAUGCCUAUUUCACUUUCCAGUGUAGAAGCAAAGAUGUGAACCUUAAUGAUGCAAUUUUAUCUUCAGGCUCAGUGG
Long non-coding RNA from Chelonia mydas (Green sea turtle), 478 nucleotides. RefSeq lists it as uncharacterized. The record is from RefSeq and is a predicted model, not a curated record. The transcript is spliced from 4 exons. NCBI's taxonomy places the organism in Eukaryota, Metazoa, Chordata, Testudines, Cheloniidae.